RNAcentral lists this ribosomal RNA (322 nucleotides) under uncultured Gigaspora. RNAcentral describes it as "partial large subunit ribosomal RNA". The record is from RNAcentral. Lineage: Eukaryota; Fungi; Glomeromycota; Glomeromycetes; Diversisporales; Gigasporaceae.
UUGAAAGGGAAACGAUUGAAGUCAGUCAUGCCGGUGGGAAUCAACUUAGGGGAAACUCUAAGUGCACUUCUUCGCUUGGCAGGUCAACGUCGAUUUUGGAUGUCAUAAAAUGAUUGGGGGAAGGUAGCUCCUUAGGGAGUGUUAUAGCCCUUGGUAGAUGCUGAAUGAUGUCUGGGAUCGAGGAUUGCAAGGCUUUGGAUACCCUUUGGGGCUAGCUGCCUGAUCUCUAAUUGGUAUUGGGUUACGGAUAGCAUGCUGACCGUGAUCUAAUUAUUGGUUAAAAGGUUAGAGCGUGCAUAAAUUCGUUAAGGAUGUUGACGUA